Molecule: non-coding RNA, 679 nt
Organism: Paramormyrops kingsleyae
Lineage: Eukaryota; Metazoa; Chordata; Actinopteri; Osteoglossiformes; Mormyridae
Source: RefSeq, a predicted model, not a curated record
AAAAUGAAAUGUUAAAGUCAGCAUAUUAGUAGCAUAUAUCCAAUGUUUUAAUGACCUAUUUGUUCUUGUAAUAUCAAAUCAUUGCUACGGCAACUAUGUUUACUGUUUGAAUGUGAAUUUCUUACUAAAAUACUUUGUCAUAUUUAUACGGACCAUAUAAAUCAUAUCAUGUUUUUAUGUUUUUCAGAUGGCAGCUCAUCCUGUGUGUUUCAUAAUCAUCCUGCAAGACUCGCUCUGGGUGGGACAGCAGACAGGACCACAUGACGUGGGGAGGAGAGCAGGAAAUAAGGACUUUAUGUUGACCGAGGUGGAGAUUGGGUUAACAAAACAGACUCGAGGAAAAAAAAAUCAAUCGUAGAUGAGGGGAGAGGUAUGCUUGAAACCAAAAACACAUUGGGUUAUGGAGGAGCUGCAACUGAGGACUGGAGAGCCUGAGUUUGUUCACACUGUGAGAGAAAAGGAAGCUCUUAAGAUUUGGGAACAAGUGACAGGGUGACAUACACAGCGGCAGCCAGCAGGACUGUGAACAGCAGGGCAGCCAUGACAGUUCCCACAAUCCAAAGGGAAGCUCCAUGGGAGGGCUCUGUGAAGUUGACUGUGGUGGUCGCUUGAAAGCUGCCGCUGGGGAAGGUGGUGUACUGACAGACGUAGUUUCCGGUGUCAUUCAUUAUCACGUCUG